RNAcentral lists this long non-coding RNA (618 nucleotides) under Elaeis guineensis (African oil palm). Its description in RNAcentral is "long non-coding RNA (EGUI_LNC005337)". Lineage: Eukaryota; Viridiplantae; Streptophyta; Magnoliopsida; Arecales; Arecaceae. The record is from RNAcentral.
CCCAUUAAUAGGUAUUUUAAGGGGAAAAAAGAUAGAGCUGUGUAUCUUUGGUGUUGAUGUGUUUGGAUGUAUUGGCACAAUAAAGCAUGAUAGCUGUAUUUUCCUGAACCAUAUCCAGUACAGAUGCAUCAUGUAUAUGUUACUGCAUGGAUGAUUGCAUGGGAUGUUCCUCCAUAAAGAAUUGAAGGUGGGUUAAAGUGAGAAGAGAUCAGUAAUGAAGACAGUAAAUUGGUGGCGACCAGAGUGACUUUGAGUGCAUAAUCCCAAAAAAACUCAGGAUUAGUUAAAUCCCCUAUGAGGAGGAACCAACAGUCCCUAUUUUCGUAGGAUUAUGUGCUCCAUUAGUUUUCUGGUUGUGAUACUUCUUCCUCUUCUGGUGCUUUUCUCUUCUCCAAAUGGAAUCUGCAGUGACAUUAUCCACAGGAUAAAGUAUAUGAUCAUCCAAACAAGCCCUAACUCUUGAACACUGCUUUCAAAGAUUCAAGGACAAAACUUGUAUGAUUUGGGGUUGAUCUUCGGAGUUUUGCUCACAUCAUGUAUGGAAUCUAUUGCUACAUAUCAUGAAAGAUGGGAACCAAUCCAACUUAUGAAAAGUUUGGUCAUAUCAUAAAUAGAUUC